AGCUUGCUCUUUCCAGAAUUGAGUGGCAAACGGGUGAGUAACACGUAAACAACCUGCCUUCAGGGUGGGGACAACAGACGGAAACGACUGCUAAUACCGAAUAAGUUCCAAGAGCCGCAUGGCCCAUGGAAGAAAAGGUGGCCUCUACCUGUAAGCUAUCGCCUGAAGAGGGGUUUGCGUCUGAUUAGCUGGUUGGAGGGGUAACGGCCCACCAAGGCGACGAUCCAUAGCCGGCCUGAGAGGGUGAUCGGCCACAUUGGAACUGAGACACGGUCCAAACUCC
Molecule: ribosomal RNA, 283 nt
Filed under: uncultured Dialister sp.
Lineage: Bacteria; Bacillati; Bacillota; Negativicutes; Veillonellales; Veillonellaceae
Description: partial 16S ribosomal RNA
Rfam family: Bacterial small subunit ribosomal RNA
Source: RNAcentral